AUCUGCUGAGGGCAAAUAAAAUGAAUAUGGGUGUCCAAUCCUCCUGCCGUGAGGAUCAGCCCUUCUCCUGCCAAAGCUUCCGUGUAAGCGCCGAUUACCAUUCCUGGAGUCACGCCAUCCAUAAUAUCUGGAUUUCCCGCCUUGCCGAUCCCUGCAAUUUUUCCAUUUCGAAUUCCCACAUCCGCCUUGUAAAUUCCAGUAUAAUCCAGGAUCACACAAUUAGUAAUCACCAAAUCCAGCAUCUGGUCCUCAUGGGCUUCCGUGGCAGACUGACCCAUGCCGUCCCG
This 287-nucleotide small RNA is filed under the name chicken gut metagenome. RNAcentral's name for it is "5' ureB small RNA". It matches the Rfam family "5' ureB small RNA". The record is from RNAcentral.